GUGUCAGCCGCCGCGGUAAGACAGAGGUGCCGAGCGUUAGGCGGAAUCACUGGGCUUAAAGCGUGUGUAGGCGGACUUCUAAGUACCUUGUGAAAUCCCACGGCUCAACCGUGGAACUGCUGGGUAUACUGGUUGUCUUGAGCCACUUAGGGGCAGUCGGAACAGAUGGUGGAGCGGUGAAAUGCGUAGAUAUCAUCUGGAACGCCAAAGGUGAAAACAGACUGCUGGGAGUGUGCUGACGCUGAGACACGAAAGCCAGGGGAGCGAACGGGAUUAGAUACCCCCGUAGUCC
RNAcentral lists this ribosomal RNA (292 nucleotides) under uncultured bacterium. RNAcentral's name for it is "partial 16S ribosomal RNA". It matches the Rfam family "Bacterial small subunit ribosomal RNA", at positions 505 to 796 of the family's 1533-position model. The record is from RNAcentral.